This 403-nucleotide unclassified non-coding RNA is filed under the name soil metagenome. Its description in RNAcentral is "partial contains 5.8S ribosomal RNA, internal transcribed spacer 2, and large subunit ribosomal RNA". The stretch from base 1 to 120 matches the Rfam family "5.8S ribosomal RNA", at positions 35 to 154 of the family's 154-position model. The record is from RNAcentral.
GAUGAAGACGCAGCGAAAUGCGAUAAGUAAUGUGAAUUGCAGAAUUCAGUGAAUCAUCGAAUCUUUGAACGCACCUUGCGCCCUUUGGCUAUUCCGAAGGGCAUGCCUGUUUGAGUAUCAUGAACACCUCAACUCUCAUGGUUUGCCAUGAUGAGCUUGGACUUUGGGGGUCUUGCCGGCCUAUGGGUCGGCUCCUCUCAAAUUAAUCAGCUUGCCAGUGUUUGGUGGCAUCACAGGUGUGAUAACUAUCUACGCUUGUGGUUUUCCAUCAGGUAACCUUCAGUGAUGGAGGUUCGCUGGGGCUCAUAAAUGUCUCUCCUCAGUGAGGACAGCUUUUUUGAACGUUUGAUCUCAAAUCAGGUAGGACUACCCGCUGAACUUAAGCAUAUCAAUAAGCGGAGGA